UACGUAGGGGGCGAGCGUUGUCCGGAAUUACUGGGCGUAAAGAGCGUGUAGGCGGGUGCUUAAGUCAGGUGUGAAAGACCGGGGCUCAACUCCGGGGUUGCACUUGAAACUGGGCAUCUUGAGGGCAGGAGAGGAAAGCGGAAUUCCUGGUGUAGCGGUGAAAUGCGUAGAUAUCAGGAGGAACACCGGUGGCGAAGGCGGCUUUCUGGACUGACCCUGACGCUGAGACGCGAAAGCGUGGGGAGCAAACAGGAUUAGAUACC
This 263-nucleotide ribosomal RNA is filed under the name uncultured bacterium. Its description in RNAcentral is "partial 16S ribosomal RNA". It matches the Rfam family "Bacterial small subunit ribosomal RNA", at positions 524 to 786 of the family's 1533-position model. The record is from RNAcentral.